UAGUUUAUUUAAAUAUUUGAA
Molecule: non-coding RNA, 21 nt
Filed under: Caenorhabditis elegans
Lineage: Eukaryota; Metazoa; Nematoda; Chromadorea; Rhabditida; Rhabditidae
Source: RNAcentral